RNAcentral lists this ribosomal RNA (389 nucleotides) under uncultured bacterium. Its description in RNAcentral is "bacterial SSU rRNA". It matches the Rfam family "Bacterial small subunit ribosomal RNA", at positions 202 to 612 of the family's 1533-position model. The record is from RNAcentral.
AAAAACUCCGGUGGUGUGAGAUGGACCCUCGUCUGAUUAGCCAGUUGGCGGGGUAACGGCCCACCAAAGCGACGAUCAGUAGCCGGCCUGAGAGGGUGAACGGCCACAUUGGGACUGAGACACGGCCCAAACUCCUACGGGAGGCAGCAGUGGGGAAUAUUGCACAAUGGGGGAAACCCUGAUGCAGCGACGCCGCGUGAGUGAAGAAGUAUUUCUGUAUGUAAAGCUCUAUCAACAAGGAAGAAGUGACGGUACCUGAAUAAGAAGCCCCGGCUAACUGCGUGCCAGCAGCCGCGGUAAUACGUACGGGGCAAGCGUUAUCCGGAUUUACUGGGUGUAAAGGGAGCGUAGACGGCAAGGCAAGUCUGAAGUGAAAGCCCGGUGCUUAA